This 463-nucleotide ribosomal RNA is filed under the name uncultured bacterium. RNAcentral describes it as "partial 16S ribosomal RNA". It matches the Rfam family "Bacterial small subunit ribosomal RNA", at positions 28 to 507 of the family's 1533-position model. The record is from RNAcentral.
GAUGAACGCUGACAGAAUGCUUAACACAUGCAAGUCGAUGGGGAAGUGGUGCUUGCACCCUGGUAACCAUGGCGGACGGGUGAGUAACGCGUAAGGAACUUACCUGCGGGACCGGGAUAACAGCAGGAAACUGCUGACAAGACCGGAUAAGGUCAUUAAGCUGCAUAGCUUAGUGAUGAAAGGAGACGCCUGCGGAGAGCCUUGCGUCCUAUUAGCUAGUUGGAGGGGUAACGGCCCACCAAGGCGAAGAUAGGUAGCCGGCCUGAGAGGGUGGACAGCCACAAGGGGACUGAGAUACGGCCCUUACUCCUACGGGAGGCAGCAGUGGGGAAUAUUGGACAAGGGGGGCAACCCUGAUCCAGCAAUUCUGUGUGCACGAAGACGGUUUUCGGAUUGUAAAGUGCUUUCAGCAGGGAAGAAGGAAGUGACGGUACCUGCAGAAGAAGCGACGGCUAAAUACGUG